This 72-nucleotide transfer RNA is filed under the name Neotoma lepida (desert woodrat). It matches the Rfam family "tRNA". Rfam says of the family: Transfer RNA (tRNA) molecules are approximately 80 nucleotides in length. Their secondary structure includes four short double-helical elements and three loops (D, anti-codon, and T loops). Further hydrogen bonds mediate the characteristic L-shaped molecular structure. tRNAs have two regions of fundamental functional importance: the anti-codon, which is responsible for specific mRNA codon recognition, and the 3' end, to which the tRNAs corresponding amino acid is attached (by aminoacyl-tRNA synthetases). tRNAs cope with the degeneracy of the genetic code in two manners: having more than one tRNA (with a specific anti-codon) for a particular amino acid; and 'wobble' base-pairing, i.e. permitting non-standard base-pairing at the 3rd anti-codon position. Lineage: Eukaryota; Metazoa; Chordata; Mammalia; Rodentia; Cricetidae. The record is from Rfam by way of RNAcentral.
GGAGGUGUGGCUCAGUGGUAGUGAGCAUACCUAGCAUGUUCAUGGUCCUGGGUUCCAUCCCCAGCACUGUCA